UCCUCCGCUUAUUGAUAUGCUUAAGUUUAGCGGGUAAUCCUACCUGAUUUGAGGUCAAAUUUCAUAAGAUAAUUAUGGGCACGAAACUAUAAUAAAUAGUCGUACCUAAUAAAAAAUGUCAAUUAAGCACAAAGUAUUGACCAUAAAAUGCGCUCAAAUCAACGAAAAAUCAAUUUUAAGUCACUUAAACUCUAAUAGAGGUUUUUAAGGAAACUCAAUUCCGAAAUGAUACUUCUCACGAGGUAACAAAUCGAUUUUUUUUUUAUUUAAUAACCCUCAAACAGGCAUACUCUUCGUGAAAAGAGUGCAAUUCGCGUUCAAAAAUUCGAUGAUUCAC
RNAcentral lists this unclassified non-coding RNA (337 nucleotides) under uncultured Glomeraceae. Its description in RNAcentral is "sequence contains 5.8S rRNA gene, ITS2, 28S rRNA gene". Lineage: Eukaryota; Fungi; Glomeromycota; Glomeromycetes; Glomerales; Glomeraceae. The record is from RNAcentral.